UACGUAGGGGGCGAGCGUUGUCCGGAGUUACUGGGCGUAAAGCGCACGCAGGCGGUCUGCUAAGUUUGGAGUGACAGUUGGUGGCUUAACUGCCAAAGUGCUUCGAAAACUGACAGACUUGAGGGCUUCAGAGGGACACGGAAUUCCCGGUGUAGUGGUGGAAUGCGUAGAGAUCCGGAAGAACACCAAAGGCGAAGGCACCAUCCUGGGGAGUCACUGACGCUCGGGUGCGAAAGCUAGGGGAGCGAACGGG
This 253-nucleotide ribosomal RNA is filed under the name uncultured bacterium. RNAcentral describes it as "partial 16S ribosomal RNA". It matches the Rfam family "Bacterial small subunit ribosomal RNA", at positions 524 to 776 of the family's 1533-position model. The record is from RNAcentral.